This 1807-nucleotide long non-coding RNA is filed under the name Equus asinus (donkey). Its description in RNAcentral is "lncRNA (ENSEASG00005033416.1)". Lineage: Eukaryota; Metazoa; Chordata; Mammalia; Perissodactyla; Equidae. The record is from RNAcentral.
AUGGAAUAUUACAUAGCAAUAAAAAGGAAUGACGUAUUGACAUACUCAACAACAUCGAUCAAUCUCCAAAUCAUUAUUCUUGGUUAAAAAAAGCCAGAGAAUCCCCCUCAAAAAGAACACAUACUGUAGGGUUUCAUUUAUAUAAAAUUCUACAAAAUGCAAACUAAUCUACAGUGACAAGCACAACAGUUUGUGUUCAGGAAUUAGGGAUUCAUGGGGAGGGUGGGAGGGACGGAUUACAAAGGGACAUGAGGAAAUUUGGGGGCAUGAGACACGUCUUGAUUGUGGUCAAGGCUUCACAGGUGUAUACUUAUGUCAAAACUUAUCAAACUGUAUACUUUAUAGGCAUUUUAUUGUAUGUCAAUUAUACUUCAAUAAAGCUGUAAAAACAUAUAAUCACAAAAAUGAUCUUUAGGUCACUUCCAACUGCCUUUCAACUCAAUUAUUUUUUCAUGACUCCUCUUUGAUCCCUUUACUGAACUCCCUUGAAGAACCCCAAGCAAAUAUCCUUUUAUUCUCUGAAGGCACCGAUCCUGGUUUUCCCUACUGAAAAUGAGGGGAAAGUUUUAAGUAACCCUCUUAUGAAUUAAGGACAUAGUCUCCUUUCCUUUUCCCCCCAAGCUCACCAAAAUCAUACUGGGAUCAACUGUCCUGAAGGAUGACCUCUAGUCUCUGUUUAAGACACAAAGGAAGAAGAAAAAUCAAAAACAAAAAAUUUUUCCAGCAACUUCCACUCUUGUGUUAUAAAUGAACUGAAGUCAAAGAUUUUAAGAGUUGCCUGGCUCCUCUGGAGCUAACCUGGUAUAAAAAGGGCUCUAAUUGUGAAAGAAAGGGUCUCUUCUAUCUUUGGAGUAGUGCUCUCACCAACAAACAGCAACCCAGGCAGAGGGAGAUGUGGAUGGCUGUGGGAGGAGUACUUUUUUUUUUAUCUCGCGUCAAUCUACAACUGCAAAAUGAACUGGCCCAAUUUAAAGUUUCACAAUUUCUGACCAUUGGUCUACAUUCCUGAAAGGUUCUCCGUGAAAUAAAUGUGGUGUGUGUGUAAGUUGAAUCACUGGCUUCUAAUUCGUUUACUAUAAUGAAGAAAUAGACUUGGGAUUAUUUGAAUUCUGUCUUUGCAAUUUACAAGCUUUGUGAUCUUGGGCAAUCUCUCAACUUCUCUAAACUUCAACUUCCUCCUCUAAAAUGGAGCUGAACUCAAGGGCUGACCUGAAGAUUGUAUGCAAUGAGAAAGGCCAGGGCCUGGGACAUGGGAAGCACUCAGUAAUGGUUUAUGAAAUCUGCAUUGUAAAUAUCUAUUGAGGUCUCAUUUCGGAGUCCCUUAUCUCUUCUUCUGAUAAACAUUCAUUUGGUUAUUACUCAAUACCACAUAACUUUAAGCUUACCCUCCCCUCACCUUCUGUCAUGUUGAUAAUCCAAGUCCACAAGCAGGCAAGAACACAUUCAUGGAAUCUGCUAUUUAAAACAGCAACAGCUCAGGAGGCUGGCCCUGUGGCCGGGUGGUUGAGUUCACAUGCUCCGCUUCAGCGGCCCAGUGUUUCCUUGGUUCGAAUCCUGGGCGCUGACAUGGCACUGCUCAUCAAACCAUGCUGAGGUGGCGUCCCACAUGCUGCAACUAGAAGGACCCACGAUGAAGAAUAUGCAACUAUGUACCGGAGGGGGUAGGGGAGCUUUGGGGAGAAUAAAGGAAAAAAAUAAAAUCUUAAAAAAAAAAAUCACAGGUCUCCUAAGAAAGGGGUUUUCAGAAAUGUUAGAUCAUCAUCUACUGGGGUCCACCCCCUGAGUCUGGGCAGGGCCACAGUGAAAC